This 326-nucleotide unclassified non-coding RNA is filed under the name soil metagenome. RNAcentral describes it as "partial contains 5.8S ribosomal RNA, internal transcribed spacer 2, and large subunit ribosomal RNA". The stretch from base 1 to 120 matches the Rfam family "5.8S ribosomal RNA", at positions 35 to 154 of the family's 154-position model. The record is from RNAcentral.
GAUGAAGAACGUAGUGAAAUGCGAUAAGUAAUGUGAAUUGCAGAAUUCAGUGAAUCAUCGAAUCUUUGAACGCACAUUGCGCCCCUUGGUAUUCCGAGGGGCAUGCCUGUUCGAGCGUCAUUUCACCACUCAAGCCUCGCUUGGUAUUGGGCGCCGCGGUGUUCCGCGCGCCUCAAAGUCUCCGGCUGAGCUGUCCGUCUCUAAGCGUUGUGAUUUCAUUAAUCGCUUCGGAGCGCGGGCGGUCGCGGCCGUUAAAUCUUUCACAAGGUUGACCUCGGAUCAGGUAGGGAUACCCGCUGAACUUAAGCAUAUCAAUAAGCGGAGGA